UUCUUAACCUAAAUAAACACACACAAUUACACAUUUUCAGCACACACACAUGCGCCUCUCAUCUCUCUCUCGGACCUCUCCCGACUCUCUCUGCUCUCUCUCUGAUCGGUCGAGUGCGGCGCCGCCUCCGGCGCGCCGCCUCGCCGGACGUCUCGCCUCUCCCUCUCACCCCCUCGGUCUCCUCUUCUCACUGACUCACACACACACGCACGCAGACACGGCGAAAGCCGCGCCGCCGCGUCGUCCUCCCCUUCGCCGGUGGACAGACGGCCAGGAGCCGCCACCGUCGCCGGAGAGCCAGGUAAAACCCUAACUUUUUUUCAUUUUCCCCUUCUUUCCUUUUUAGAUUAAAACUGAAAACUCCUCUCUCUCUCUUUUGAUUUGGCUGAAUCGGAGCAACGGCGACGUCACGGCUGUCACGUUACCGCCGCCGCCGCCGACGACGAGCCACCAUGGCUCCGCCGCUGACCGCCGUCUGAAAACAGAUCGGAAGCCACCGCGGCUCCGUCGCCGUCCGUUGACCGCCGGCGACGACGAGUCACCAAGGCUGCCGCCUCCCUCUGAUCUCGACUCACACACACAAGGCAGGGUCAGCCCCCCCUUCAAAGGUUUCAAGCCUCAAAUUCAGUCGAACACUUAGCACAUAGGAUUUGAGCAAAAAUCAAAUACUGUAAAUUUCAGUUCAUACGUUAAUACAUGUAAAUUUUUCUUUUGGAUCAUUCUCGUUUGGUGGUUCUCUGAUAUAUUGGAUAAAAGGGGAAUACCUUGAAUA
Long non-coding RNA from Salvia miltiorrhiza (redroot sage), 772 nucleotides. RefSeq lists it as uncharacterized. NCBI's taxonomy places the organism in Eukaryota, Viridiplantae, Streptophyta, Magnoliopsida, Lamiales, Lamiaceae. The transcript has 2 exons. The record is from RefSeq and is a predicted model, not a curated record.